Molecule: non-coding RNA, 117 nt
Filed under: Gorilla gorilla gorilla (western lowland gorilla)
Lineage: Eukaryota; Metazoa; Chordata; Mammalia; Primates; Hominidae
Source: Rfam by way of RNAcentral
GCUGGGCAUGGUGGCUUAUGCCCAUAAUCCCAGCACUUUGGGAGGCUGAGAUGGGAGGAUUGCUUGAGGCCAGGAGUUCGAGACCAGCCUGGUCAACAAAGCAAGACCCCAUCUCAA